This is a long non-coding RNA of Equus asinus (donkey), 1926 nucleotides long. NCBI's taxonomy places the organism in Eukaryota, Metazoa, Chordata, Mammalia, Perissodactyla, Equidae. The record is from Ensembl.
GCAUUUUACCUAAGGAAGCUGUAGAUACAGGGAAAUAUCAGGGGGCAAAGAAGGAGGAAUAGAGAACAUGGAGGCAGGAAAUGGUGAAAAGGCUAGCGGAAAUCUGAAGACUAUGGAAACAUUCCCACCACUGGAACCUGGCCUGUGACUUGCCCUGUGGUCAGGAAUUGCAAAAGCUCAACAGGAGUUUACCAGGCAAAGCACGGUAAGCUAAAAAGCCACGUGAGAGGUGUCUACUAAGCCCUGUGCUGGGAGUGGGGUGGUUCAAGAAAGGCUUCCUGGCACUGACAGGCUUUGAGAUGCAUCUGAAGGUGGGACUCAGAGUAUUGUGGUGGGUGGGCUCAAGAGAGUGUUCUCUCCUUCCCACCUGUGCCUGGUGCCCAGCCCUUGGCUAAUGGCCUCUGGCUCCGGAGCCCACAGUGGCUGUUACCCCUGGAGGAAGGCCCUCUGCCUCUCCUUCCACAGCAGGAGCCGUCUUUGGGAGAGUGGGGUUGGCAAAGGCCACUUCCUCGACAUUCGUUUCCUACCCAGCCUCUGCCAACCAAAUCAAAUGCUACUUUCUUUCCAAGGCAAUUGGACCAACUUGUGCAAACAUGCAAAGCCAAUAAGUGGGUCUGAACUGAGGUCUUCAUCUAUUAUAGUACCUCCCCCACUGUCCAGAAGAAUUUUGUGUCAUCUACAAAAUAAAAUUUUCAUUUAUAUUCCUUCCCAUAGAACAAAUUAGAUAUAAAAUGAAUGGUUCUAACACUAUCUCAAAGAACCCUGCUUCUUUCUCUCCCUUUUCCAAAUAAUUUUGCUUUAAUUAAUUCAGCAAGUAUUUAUGGAAUCAGACAUUAUUCUAGGCAUUUGGGAUACAUCAGUGAACAUAACAAAGAUCCCUGCCCAAGCUUACCAUUUAGCAGGCAAGACAACCAGAAGACAUAAUAAGUAAGUUAUAAGCGUUUGCUAGAAAUGGUGAUGAGUGCCAUGGAAAAAGAACAAGAAGAGGAACGAAAUAGAGAAGUUCUCUAGUCCCAUGAGCCGAGCAUCAUGGCGGAGUGAGUUAUUCUCUUUGUCUCUCCCUUCUAAGUUAGUGGACAUCUGUUGACCCAUGAAGGACUCCCUACACAGCACAACAGAGCACCUGAGAGAUCCAUGCGUCUACUCCCACGAGCCAACCCCCCCUUAGUGGGAAGGAGGAUGGGAACAAUGAGAGGGAAGGAAGAGAGAGGACAGGGCUUCUGCUUUUUGCUCUAAGCCCUUGUCCCUGGUUGGAAUUUUAAACUAAUUGCAUGUAUCACUUUGAUAAAAAUAAAAAUUAAGUUCAAAUAGUGCUGUAACUAUAUUGGGAGGUGAGGGUGGCAGGGUGAGCCAAGUUCUCUUCUGUCACUGCAGAAAACAGGACAAGGUUUCUAACGUUAAUAAAUCAAGAAAUAGAACCACAGGCAUAUCAUUGAGCAAUGUAAAGAAGACUCGCAGAAGAAUUGAAAGCAGAAACAGCUACAAGAGUGAAAAGUCAUUUCUUCCAGGGGAGAAAUCGGAUAUGACUUUCAUGAAAGAUUUUGUUUGAACAAAUGAUUCUGCAGCUGAAAUUGGUUUGAACUCCAUGAUCCCUUUUGGCUCUCAUAAUUAAUGAUUCUUUAAAAGCAGCUGUUAUUCUUUAUGCUCAGCCUAUUUGCUUCCUCAGAGAACUUCCAUCAUUUAGUCAGAAGCCCUGCAGUCUGCCCCCAGUAGGCCAUGGUUUGAAGUGACCGGUGAGUUUGUUGCCAGUUUGCUUGAUAUGAAAGUGAGACCCUGCAGUCAAUCACUUGAUGAUUGUACUCUGGAGGGCCUCCAGAGCCACUAUUAGAACGGGGACAUGCACCUUUAGGUAUUCUGCCUGGCCUCCAGCACAGUGGCUCUUGUAACCACAGGUAAGCAUUUUGGCUAAUAGUCCCCUGGUGUCAU